This is a long non-coding RNA of Trifolium pratense (red clover), 2197 nucleotides long. RefSeq lists it as uncharacterized. Lineage: Eukaryota; Viridiplantae; Streptophyta; Magnoliopsida; Fabales; Fabaceae. The transcript has 3 exons. The record is from RefSeq and is a predicted model, not a curated record.
UCCUCACUAUUGCUCUCCUCCUCCCUUCCAAACUAGCAAACAAAUGCGGUUUGGAAUUGAACUGCAAUGCUUUUCCUUCCUCACUCUAAUUUCGGUGUCAGGUGUGUCCUUUGUUUGUUAAAGAUAUUAAUAAGAGGUGUUGAUUUCAUUAUUUUGUUGGUGGAUUUUAUCGUAGCUGACAUGGAAAUAGGAGUAAGACAAUGACAGAGUGGGUAGUCAAUCCCGUGGGAUCCCGGUGGAGUGGAGCGGUUGCUUGCCGCUGUGGGAUGGCUGCGAGCGACACAGUUAGCCUUAGCGGCUGCUAUAGCCGGGUUAGUGGCUAUCCCACUAUCCGCAGUUAGCCUUGGGAGGCAUAGCUUGUUACUCAGCUGCUUUACUUAAAUAUUAUGCCAUGUCUACUUGGUGAUUCUUAAGUCAAAUUUCUUUAACCCUUUUCAUUGUAUCUGCAAGUUAAAAGGAUAUAGAAUCCGAGUUUCUAAAUUUUAAUGGGAGAUACUUUGAUAUUUGGUUGUGUCUACCUACUAUCUUUAAUGAUAUCUUUGGUAUUUGGUACAAGUUAAAACAGAAAUUUAUGGCAUUUCUUAUUUGUGGGUCCAAAAUCUACUCUAUUUUGAAAGAUUGAAUUAAUCAGGAUUAUGGAAGUCAUCACUAAGAAUGAACACCUCAAACCCAGGUGAACAUCUAAUGGUCUGUAUUGAAUUGAAUUAGAUUGUGAUUAGAAUAUGAAUCUAGCAUUUGUUUUCCAGCUUUUGAGAGUCUAGUAUAUGGAUGUGGAGGCUGCAUCUAACUGAUCCACAAUCGGUCGAGCCUCCAUAAGUACCAUAUUUAUUCAAAAUUAGAAUUUAGAAGUUAAAAAACAAAAUACAAACUGAACAUAUUUAUUCAAACCAUCCCCAAACAAGGGCUGUUGUAUCAUCUAACUCAUUAUGAUGAAUAGCAUCAUUUAUAAACAUGCACAAAACUAAUAAAUUGAUGUAAGAACCAUCACCAAAGUAGAGAUGUGCUAUAAUUUCCAAGUACUAGUAAUGAUUUUUUUUUGGCUACAGGCUUCCCGAAGGAAAGUCUAAUUAUAGCAAAAUCUUAACUCUUCUUAUUACCAAUAGACUCACAAGAUGAAACAUUUCAUAAAUGCUGCUGAUAUGGUGGCUCCAACAUCCACAGAUUUAUAAGUACAGUAUAUAUCCAUAUAAAAUUAUAAAUAUUGUUUUUCCAGUGGAUCAAGUAAGGAUUAUGGAUUGUGUAUCCCUUUCCAAAAUCCUUUCCCUUAGCAUUUAUGGAGCAAAGAACGUUAAUGAGCAUGAGGCUACACAUACAAUAUGCAUUCAAUGUGGAUGUAAAUGUACUAAAGGUAGUAGAUUCAAGCAAAGCCAUUAAUAGAGUUUGGAGAGUGGUCAGGGGUUGGGUAGUUGGAAGCAACUGUGUCACACCACUGGAAAUAUUUUGCCAUUUUUUUUUAAUAUAGAAUUUGUUAAGUUAUUAAUGUGUCAAUGUUUCGCAAAUCAGAGUACUAGAAGUUAUUAAUUAAUAAUACUAACUUCUAACUGUACAAACCUACCAUUUGCCAUGUUGUAAAAAAUUGCUGUUCUUUAGUCUCUGUAGGGCCUUUAGAUCAGUGUGAUGAUCUUGAUUAAUUUUCUGCAACUUAAAUUCUUGUUACUAUUAGUAUAUAGUAUGAUGUUAAAUUGUUGUAUUCAUUUAGGUAUUGCCACAUCAGCUGGUUUAGAUUAUAGAAGCACAUUGCUCUUGUAUUAUUUUUCUUGCAGGAGCUCACAAAUGAAAUUUACUGUAUGCCUAGAUGUGGGGAUGUGAAUAAUAAGUAUCCUCCAGACAAAAAUAACUUUGGUACACUUUGUUUCAGAAUUGAUUUUGCAUCAGCAUUUUUGUUUGACUAAAUGUGAUAAAAAUUUGAUUUUGGAGUAUAAUGAAAAAUCAUCCAAAAAUAAACUAAUUCACUUCAAUCUCAAACAUAUAGUUGGGAGUAAUUAUAUCUUAUUUUUGUUUUUGGAGGGAAUGUUGAAGGAGAAUUACAUCUUAACAAAAAUGAAAAACUCCAAUUAACAAACUCUUAUAAGAGGAAAGAUGAUAAAUGAAGAAAAACUUCCAUUUUGCUAAAAAAUAAUCAAAAUAUAAUUGAAUACCAUAACAACACGUAACCGAGACUACUUGUUUGAAGACGCAUUUCCAGCAAAAUGUACAG